Rhineura floridana is the source of this 827-nucleotide long non-coding RNA. RefSeq lists it as uncharacterized. The transcript has 5 exons. The record is from RefSeq and is a predicted model, not a curated record. NCBI's taxonomy places the organism in Eukaryota, Metazoa, Chordata, Lepidosauria, Squamata, Rhineuridae.
GUGCGUUUGCGCCACUCUGACGAGACUGCUCCCAGAGGACUUGUUGUCUUGUUGUACUUGUAAACCACCCUCAUUCCCCUUCUGCGAACUGUAAUCUGGCAGACGACGCGGGACAACAGUCUUUCCAUAUCUACACAAUCAUUUUAACUGGAAAUGCUAGGGAAUAAGAAAGCGUCUGCUGCUACCACCUCUCCCAGCUAGGCUCUCCUCCCGAUCGCUUUCAGAAGGCUGGGAUCACAUGACUCAAUUUUUCGUACUAUCUCCUCUCCGUGGAGACUCCUCUCCUUUCUUGCCUUGGACGAGCUUCCACAGAGAGGACUGAAUAAGAAAAAAUCUACACUGGCUGUUACGAUGGUAGUAUCCAAGCUGUGCGGCUGAAUUUGAUGCAAAACUAUCGCUGUUGGGUGAACUUGAACUGAAAUGAAAAAGAAAUGAAAAUCCUUGAAUUGAACAGUGAACCGAACUAGUUCAUUUUCCAAAGGGAUAAAGAGGCGAGAUGCAGAAGAGGAUGCUGACUGGUGAAGCCGGGUGUCCAUGUCCACAUCGCUCCGGGAGCAAGGCACAUUCUCUGCUUUCCGAAACCUCUUGAGCUCCUCCCGGCCCUUCAGGCUCUCCGACCGACCAAGCUUGACCUCCGACCUGGAACUGAAGCCAUUGGAGAGCAGAGGAAGGGGGAGAGGACGAAGGAGAGAUUUAAUGAACAUGAAUAUUCUGAUGUAUUGCCACCUAUUUCAACUGGGAUUCUUAAUCUUCUGCAGAUAACCUUGAAUGGACAGCCAUCAAUUUUCUGUGAACACAGAUCUCUAGUUAUGUCCUUCUAAAACAAU